GAUUAACGCUAGCGGCAGGCCUAAUACAUGCAAGUCGAACGGCAGCACGGGUAGCAAUACCUGGUGGCGAGUGGCGCACGGGUGCGUAACGCGUAUGCAAUCUACCUGUAACUGGGGAAUAGCCUUCCGAAAGGAAGAUUAAUACCGCAUAACAUCACGAAGUGGCAUCACUUUGUUGAUCAAAUCUCCGGAGGUUACAGAUGAGCAUGCGUGACAUAGCUAGUUGGUGAGGUAACGGCUCACCAAGGCUACGAUGUCUAGGGGGUCGUNAGGAGGA
RNAcentral lists this ribosomal RNA (277 nucleotides) under uncultured bacterium. RNAcentral's name for it is "partial 16S ribosomal RNA". It matches the Rfam family "Bacterial small subunit ribosomal RNA", at positions 28 to 300 of the family's 1533-position model. The record is from RNAcentral.